Molecule: small nuclear RNA, 94 nt
Filed under: Rhodnius prolixus
Lineage: Eukaryota; Metazoa; Arthropoda; Insecta; Hemiptera; Reduviidae
Source: RNAcentral
UGUAUGCAGAACGCAUCUAACCGCAUUUAGAACGAUACAGAGAAGAUAAGCAUGGCCCCUGAGCAAGGAUGACUAAAAAGUAGGCAUUCUUUUU